This 827-nucleotide ribosomal RNA is filed under the name uncultured bacterium. Its description in RNAcentral is "bacterial SSU rRNA". It matches the Rfam family "Bacterial small subunit ribosomal RNA", at positions 8 to 823 of the family's 1533-position model. The record is from RNAcentral.
AGAGUUUGAUCCUGGCUCAGGAUGAACGCUAGCUACAGGCUUAACACAUGCAAGUCGAGGGGCAGCAUGGUCUUAGCUUGCUAAGGCUGAUGGCGACCGGCGCACGGGUGAGUAACACGUAUCCAACCUGCCGUCUACUCUUGGCCAGCUUUCUGAAAGGAAGAUUAAUCCAGGAUGGCAUCAUGAGUUCACAUGUCCGCAUGAUUAAAGGUAUUUUCCGGUAGACGAUGGGGAUGCGUUCCAUUAGAUAGUAGGCGGGGUAACGGCCCACCUAGUCAACGAUGGAUAGGGGUUCUGAGAGGAAGGUCCCCCACAUUGGAACUGAGACACGGUCCAAACUCCUACGGGAGGCAGCAGUGAGGAAUAUUGGUCAAUGGGCGAUGGCCUGAACCAGCCAAGUAGCGUGAAGGAUGACUGCCCUAUGGGUUGUAAACUUCUUUUAUAAAGGAAUAAAGUCGGGUAUGCAUACCCGUUUGCAUGUACUUUAUGAAUAAGGAUCGGCUAACUCCGUGCCAGCAGCCGCGGUAAUACGGAGGAUCCGAGCGUUAUCCGGAUUUAUUGGGUUUAAAGGGAGCGUAGAUGGAUGUUUAAGUCAGUUGUGAAAGUUUGCGGCUCAACCGUAAAAUUGCAGUUGAUACUGGAUGUCUUGAGUGCAGUUGAGGCAGGCGGAAUUCGUGGUGUAGCGGUGAAAUGCUUAGAUAUCACGAAGAACUCCGAUUGCGAAGGCAGCCUGCUAAGCUGCAACUGACAUUGAGGCUCGAAAGUGUGGGUAUCAAACAGGAUUAGAUACCCUGGUAGUCCACACGGUAAACGAUGAUACUCGCUGU